Alexandromys fortis (reed vole) is the source of this 1537-nucleotide long non-coding RNA. RefSeq lists it as uncharacterized. NCBI's taxonomy places the organism in Eukaryota, Metazoa, Chordata, Mammalia, Rodentia, Cricetidae. The record is from RefSeq and is a predicted model, not a curated record. The transcript has 2 exons.
UGAUCCAAAAAGUGAUUCGUGGUCAACUGUGGCACCUUUGAGUGUUCCUCGUGAUGCUGUUGCAGUAUGCCCCCUUGGAGACAAACUCUAUGUGGUUGGCGGAUAUGAUGGUCAUACAUAUCUGAAUACUGUUGAAUCAUAUGAUGCUCAGAAAGAUGAAUGGAAAGAGGAAGUCCCUGUGAAUGUCGGGAGAGCCGGAGCAUGUGUUGUAGUUGUGAAGCUACACUGAAACUCUCAUUGGCUAAUACAAUGGAAUAGAAUUAUCUCAAGAAUGAAGAAGAAAUAUUCUCUUUUCAGAAGUUGAUAGCAGAUUCAAAUGCUGUUGUGUUGUUUUCACGUGUAGUUGAAAUUGUUAACAUUCAUAAGGCUGAAAAAUGUGGAUUACAUGUUACUGUUGAGUAUAUGUGCUGUCUCAGCUUAUAAUCUAAUGCAAAAUCCCAUGGGCUAUCUUUAGCCUCAUUAGCAUAAAAUGUUAAAGUACCUAACAAACAUUUGGCAGUGGGCAGUAUUUGAAGGUGAUGAAUGCAUUAACAGUUUUCGUGUAAGGGUCUAGGAAGUAAAAACAUUUUCUAUUAAAGGUACUCUACCAUCUGGAAUAACUUAAUAAAAAAGAAUGACAGAAGCUUUAAAGCAUACUGUCUUGUUUCAAACAAUAGCUCACCUAGCUAAUAAUACCUUACAUAUGCCAAGAAGAAAGUGUUUUCUUUGUCAAGCAAGAAACAGGUCAUUCAAUGAUAUAAUUUCCUAUACUAAUUACACAAUGUCAAACUUUUCACAGGCUAUUAUUUUCAGUUAACUUCCUGAUAAAAUAUGUAUAUAAAUUUUCUAUCCCAUGACAUGGUGUGUUGAUAGAUUCAUUUGCAGUAAAGUAUCAUAAUGUUGCAUAUACAAUCUAUCAUCUGUAACAGUGAAUAUUAUAUUGUUACAAACUUUGCCUGAGGGCCUCAUUGUACAGAAGUUUAUUCUCUCCUCAAGCAUUUAAUAUUUUCUCAAUAAACACCUUCCAUUAUGUUAAAAUUUGAUCUAAACAAAGUUAAAAUUGAGAAUAUGAUGCACAAUAUUAACAACAGAAACACUAAAAGUUUAACAUACAGAGUCAAUUCUAUAAUUUCUCUAUACCUAUCUAUACCUAAUCUUCUUUUAAUUUCAUAAUCAUGUUUACCUAGCAGUAAAUAGUAAAGACACAUGUACUACAAAACUACACUUUUGAAAAUAAAAAUAAAAGAGUAUUUGAGUAUUACUUUAGCUUUUAUUUUAUUUUUAUUUACACUACUUAAAGAUAAAACAUUAUGGUGAAAUAUUGAAAACUCAUGUUUUUGAAGUUAACUUUUCAAGUAAAUGUUCAAUUUUUGAAUUUCUAUAAUACUUCUCAUAAAUGAACUUUCUGUUUUAGAAUAUCAAAACAAAGAACAAAAUCCAGAGUGAUGCUUAUAAAAUGCUACUUACUACCUAUUUUUAUUUUUAAAUCACAGCAUAUGUUGAAAAAAGGUAUUUGUACUUUGGCAAAUUGAAUUUAAAUAAAAUCUUUUCCCUCUGA